UGAGAUCUGUUUGACCCUGCCAGACUGGUCGGCUAGUUCGGAAGCCUAAGCCAUGCAAUUUGGGCAACCUGUUGAACUCUGUCUCGAGACGGAGGGCAGGGAGCAGGCCACUGCUGCGUUAGAUCAUGGUAACGUAUGCACAAGGACGGUAUAUCCGCGGGAAACUGCGGGCAAUAUCGAAUGGGCCGGUGAACACAGUAAGUGUGUAGGCUGUGUGCGUCGAGUACGAACCCAUCAGGUAGAUGGCAGUGUUAUGAACUACCGUGCCAGUAACGGGCACGGGGAAUUGGAGUACGAUUCCACAGAGAAAGGCUGAGAGACAGCUUUCAGAGCCAAGGCAAGCGGCAGGUGCGAAACCUGUCCAAUGGAGGAUCGCCGCGAAGGUUAAAGACCCUCCUUUGUCAUUCGCGGAAAAGGAAGAGAUGGUCUUAGAGAGACCGACGAACGCAACCUGUGCUAAACUCUGGUGCCAGCAGGCGCGGUAAUACCAGGACAGCGAGUCUACCAGGGUUACUGAGAUUAAAGGUUCCUAGUCGUUACUGCGUAGCAGCGAGGGACCGCGCUUAAACUUGGGUGCUCAAGAAAUAGAGUGUGCGCGAGAUCGCUUCUCCUCCGCGGAGGAAACAAGGAGAAACCAGACGCGAGGUGGAAUUCGUUGACCCGGUCAGGAAUACCAGUGUCGAAAGCGCCUCGAGAGGGUUUGCUCCUCGACCGAGAACCAAAGUUGGAGUAUCGAUAACAAUUAGACACGGUUGUAGUCUCAACAACAAACGUUGCCGACAGUUUGUGGGGCGGUACGUUUUCAGACGAGUCGGCUCCGCGGACAAUGCGAAAACCUAGUCACCGGGUCGCUUGGAGAGUAUGCUGGCAACAGUGAAAUUUAAAGGAAUUGACGGAGCCUUCCACAAGAACAGGAAAAUACGGUUCAAUUUGAUUGUAGAUGGUCUUUAGCAAUUCUUGCAAAUACGCCUCCGUUAAGCAAGCACUCCCGAGGUUCAAGGGAGUCGGCAGAUCGGCGCGAAAAGGUCUCUAAAAGUUUCUCGAUCCGUACUAAUCCCACACGGCUCGGGCCUGCCUUUAUCUCCCAUGCCGCAAAUGGUGAAGAAGCGGUUGAACAAGGGUAAUUGCAUUGUUUUAGCAGGACAGAGGACAACUCAGGGACUUAAAAUUAACUCCAGUCAAGAGGAACGCAGAGACAGUCCUUGAGGAGCAAGCGGGGAAAGGUUAGUGAACCUCUGGAUUCACCCAGAGGUGCCAAAGCCCGAAAUCUGAGUUUUGUUGCGACUCCUAUUGCUUCGGAUGGUUGUUCGAUUAACACCAUCCGAGAUGCUGUAAUAACUUGGGAUAGUUACUUGACGAGAAAUUAGUACAAAUGUAUUAACUUGCCAAUGAAGCUAAGAAGAGAAAAGAGGUGCUUACUUACGUUGUGGAACCGGACGGAUCUGAACCUUUGAGUUUCCGAUGUUCAAGUUUACAGCGGCACACUUAAGCACCGAGCCAGGAAACUGGUUGUUGGGAAGGUUUCAACAUCCAAUUUCCAAUGCAGAUUUACAGUCACCCGAGCGCAUCAAGCGAAACAAAGAUGUGUGCAUGAGACGGGACAGCGGCAAGAGGCCACGUAAACAAAAGUACAAGGUCGAUGACUUUGGUACUGUCAAACUUAAGCUUCCUCGAAAGGAAGGGAAAGGAGACUUGCGUAUCCAGCUCACACACGCAUGUGAGAAGAAAGGAUCUGUCCCAGCCGCGUUCCAACUGAAACUCGACUCUGAGUUUGAGAAACUCAGGAAAGCAAAAGAGGUCAAGGCACCUAGGCUUUCGGGCAGAGUAACCAAGGAGAGCCUAGGUUACGUUGAAGCCUGGUUGAGGAACCUUUUGGCGAAAGGUAUAGGUUGCAACGAGUUCAACUUGGCAGUGAGAGCCAUGGCGUCAGUUUUAUCGACUACAGCACUUAAGACCAAAUGUUUAGAUAAACAUCGGAAACACUUCGCUUGCACACCCUCGGGGUUAAAGGCAAUGAAUUGCCUGCGCAAGCGAAUAUCGCUGAUAGACAUGAAACUCAGAGGCGUUUGGCUCCGUCGGAAAAAUAUAAUCUACCUACGUAAGGCCUGCGGCAAUACGAGACUAGCUAGGUUACGCAAACACAGGUCGGUGUUUGUAAGAGAGUUACGUCGUUUAGGUAGAGAAAGAAAGGCAGGUGAGCUUGCCAGCCGGCGGAGAACUGCAGACUCUCGAUUCAAAUACCAGAAGACCUGGUCUGCGAAGAAAGAGAAUGCAAAAUGUGGGUCUGACGAUGGUAUUACCAUCGAGGAACACCGCGCUUUCUGGAGUGAACUCUGGGGAAAUCCGUGGAACGGAGACCUGGAGUGUGAAUUCCUGGGGCGGUUCUUGGCUACCAUCAAAGGGACUGUGAAAGCAGCGACUGAGGUGCACCGAGAAAUCCGGCCAGAGGAAGUAGAUGCUGUACUACGAUCCGUUAGGCCCAACAAAGCUGCUGGACCGGAUGGAAUUCCGCCGUGGAUCUUAAAACUGUCAAGAGUGACAAGGAGAAUAUUGUGCAUAAUCUUCAAUUAUCUUCUCAGCAAAGAGUCGAUGAUCCCGGUUAGGCUCACAACGGGAAGAACAGUGCUCCUCCCGAAGUGUGCCAGGCCUGAGAGUCCGAAAGACUUCAGACCAAUAACCGUGCUCAACACCCAAUACAAGGUACUGACAGCGGUCAUAGAAAGAAGACUACGGGAGUUCCUUAUGGGAAGAUCGUGGUGGCCCAAGGAACAGCGAGCUGUUCUAAAGGGAGUUAGAGGAUGCCACGAAUGCAUCCUCGUGGACCAGGCUGUAGUUGAGCUGUCCAAAGGUAAACACCCGAGGACACUGGCGAUGGGUUGGAUUGACUUUAAGAAGGCUUAUGACUCAGUCGACCUGAGGUGAGUGAGGAAGCUUCUUAAGAAAUACAUUGGGAGCAAACCGCUAUAUACCUGGGUAGUCUCACUUAUACGUAAGUGGAACACCAAGGUCCAAGUAAAAGGCUCGUUCAGCGAACCGAUAUAGUAUAAAAGGGAUUGUUCCAAGGCGACAGCCUUUCUCCACUACUGUUCUGCUUGGCUAUAUGUCCAGUGUUGCAUCUGUUUGCACAAGCGAAAGGAGUUAAAUUCCCUUCCGGCCACGUUGUUACCCAUUUAAUGUUUAUGGAUGACAUCAAGGUCUUUGCCAAGAAUUCGAAAAGGUUAUUGGAUGUCAUGAGAAGAAUGGAACAAGCUCACGACGAAUCGGUCUAGAAUUUGGUCUUUCUAAAUGUGGAAUCACCGCGCUUAACGAAGACCCUGGGCAAAUAUCGGAAGUCCGAGAGAGGUUGUCAAUGAGUGAGAUUCCUUUGUUAAAGAAAGAAGACCAUUAAAAAUAUCUCGGACUAUCCUUGUCUUGUGUGAACAGUAACAAGGCAAGAACCGAUAUCUCAGGGAAAACUCGAGGGUUGAUAACGAACGUGAUGCGCUCGGACAUCACAGACAGAUUCCUACCCGAAAUGAUUAGGGUUUACGCCGUAAGCCCAAUCUACUAUACCUUCGGUCUCCUAAAGUGGAAGAAAGACGAAUUCCGUAAACUGAACGAUCAUAUGAUUAGAUGUAUGCGUAAAAUCAGGAAAAGUUACCCGUGGCGGGGUUUCAGCAGUCGGUUCUUCCUGGACAGAGAGAAAGGAGGCAUGGGCUUCCCUUCCUUCGUCCACGAAGAAAUAAUGGCAGCGGGUAGUCUUUUUCUAUACGCCAGAGAACAAGCCAGAAGUGGAAGUGAAUCCGCAGAGCUUCUAAAGAAACAUUGGUACUAUAAUAAGGUUUGAAAAGGUAAAAAAGUGUUGUCGAAUCGAUUCGGGACAUGGACUACUGAACUAGGCAUCAGAGUAGACGACUGCCAAAGAAAACCGGAAUUGCUUCGGGAGAAGCUACAACAACGAAUGUUCGCCGAAUAGACGGGUGCCAAGGUGAACAAACCAUUCGUUCAGCACUUAGCUGAACCGGAGAUAAUGCCAGGUUAUUAUCUUCGAAACGACUGGUGGCAGAACACCAAAGCGUUGCAAUCUAAAUACAGGCCGCAUGACGUUCAUAAGGAGUAGACUGAAAAACACAUUUAGAUGGAAGAUUCAGCUGAAUGUCAAAUUGCAAAAAGGAGACGGAAAACUUGGAUCACAUUCUAUCUAACUGUGGCAUGCUGCGUGAAGAGUAUUUUCGUAGACACAACAAUGUCGCGAAGAACGUGUACAACAUGUUAGCAAAGACGGCUGGAAUCAAGUACAUGUACAAGAAUUCAACCAAUGGAUGUUCAAAACUAGAAAUAGUACAUGGACGCUAAUUUGGGAGCCGUUGUCUUCGACAGAGACAACGCGAAGCAUGCAAAACGCCCGAACUUGUUCCUAAUGGACAACAAGAAGCGAAAAGCGUGGAUUGUAGAAAUCGCGGUAGCAGCUGAUCAGUUGGUCCAGGAACGUAUUACCGAGAAGAGGGAAAAGUACAACAGAUUACGGAAGAAGGUGAAGAGUGAUCUUCAACUGGAGUCUGUAAAAAUUGUACCGAUUGUCAUAGGCACAUCGGGUAGAAUUACCCGGGACUGCUUGGAUAAUCUUAGAUUCCUUCCUGGGUUCGACAGAAAGCGACGUGGAAGCAAGUUAGUUAAUGAGUAUGAAAAAUACGUAUUAACUAACUUGCAGUCAAGCGCGUUGUUGGAUUCUGUAGCGAUCCUAGGGUUAGUUCUUGGUAGAUAAUGUGACGCUAAGAACCGAGCAACAAACCUACUAAUCGAUUGCUUCGGCUCGAAGAGUAGGGGUUACGACAACAACGGUUUAGUCGGAUUUGGUUUGAAUUGGGCGAAGCCCAACUAGAGUCGAUUUUUUUGCAUUUUAAUUUGAUUCUACACGGGAUAACUUACCAGGGUCUAGUCGCGUGCGAGGCGCGGACGCAAGGCGUAGCAGAGAGUGCAAAUCGGCGCCGAUCGCAACAAGGCUUUUGCAUGGCUACCCUAGGCUGAUGGAGUGAUCUUCAGGUUAAUUCCGACAAUCAACGAGACCCGAACACGCAGUUCCGCGAGGCAGGGUGCACUGACGUUCAAACUAUAGGGAUGAUGGUCAAUGGUAGGUCCGUGAUGCAACCAGAUGUUCUGGCCGACCCGUGAAUUACAAUGGGCUACAAAAGCUGUGUCCUCGCAGGAGGGCGAGGUAGAUCAGCAAUGUAGCACGUAGUGGGGAUUGUCGACUGGAAGGGUGGCAUGAACGAGGAAAUCCUUGUAUGCGCGUCUCAACAGAGCGCGCAGAAUAGGUCUCGAAGACUUGUACACACUGUCCAUCGCUAGGGCCAACGCAUUUUGUGACGAGUAGCCUGGACUUGGCGCAAGCUGUGGAUAGUGGAGCGCAUAAAAGUCGAAGCAAGGUAUUAGUAGGAGAACGUGCUGAUGGAUGAGC
Molecule: ribosomal RNA, 5437 nt
Filed under: Paramikrocytos canceri
Lineage: Eukaryota; Endomyxa; Ascetosporea; Mikrocytida; Mikrocytiidae
Description: partial 18S ribosomal RNA
Rfam family: Microsporidia small subunit ribosomal RNA (bases 4-950)
Source: RNAcentral